CGCCGGCCGUCACUGUCACCUCGGCCUCUGUGCGGGAUAAAUCACGUGCGAUUAUACCCUGGAAUUUAAGAAUUAUUUUUAAAUUCAAAUAUAAAAUUCACGUAUGGAAUGAAAAAUUCAUAGUCACGAGCCGGAUUCGAAUCGAAUGCACACCACGUUAUGGUCAGACCCUCGUCACCUUGGGUGAUAUAUUGGAUUGGGCAAAACAGGAAAUGUGGAAUGAAGGGUUUAACUGGAAGCCGUUAAACAGAUCCAUUAUCUAUUUCAUUAAAUUAAUGAUAAACAUAAUCUUAUUGCACGCAAAAUUCCAUGUGAUAGCUUCGGUUUUUUGCUUUAUGGUCUGUUACAAAGAACAAGAAUAAAUCUUUUGAAAUUCAAUGCUGAGAAGUUUUAAAAUAUGUAGGGAGCCUUAAGUGUCAGAACUGAAAGUGCAUUAAUAUAAGCGCCGGCGGCGACAUGCGACCACUACCGGAAUGGAUGGUACUUGUAAAAUGCAUAUUAUUCAUGUUUAUUUGAAUGAAAACAUUUGACACGAAAAGAAUUCAUUCCAGUAAAUAUAUUUUUAUAAAUAAAUUAAUGCUGAUAUUAUUUCAUUUUUGUUAUUGUGGUUUAUUAUAUAAGAGCAAUAAAAAAAUCAAACAGGUAGCUGAAUGUAUAGAAAAUAUUUUAGGAUAUGUGUGGGUAUAUCAUGUAGGUAGGGAGUCCGAAAUCGCUGUAGAUAUUAUUCCAUUUAAAAAUAUUGGUCGUUCUCAUUGAUCAAAACGUUAGAUCGCCAUUCACCAUAGUGAUUUAUAUCUCGAUCAAUGGGAUCUCAUCAUUUAUACCUACAAUACCUGGGAACUUGUGCUCGCAGCGAAAAGAAAUGGAUGGCUUGAGAAACUAUUGAAUAGAAAUGCACCAUGUCUGAGAAAUACCAUUAAAGGUACUGAUAUUUAUGAAC
Molecule: long non-coding RNA, 940 nt
Organism: Danaus plexippus (monarch butterfly)
Lineage: Eukaryota; Metazoa; Arthropoda; Insecta; Lepidoptera; Nymphalidae
Exons: 3
Source: RefSeq, a predicted model, not a curated record